This is a non-coding RNA of Plasmodium falciparum 3D7, 2827 nucleotides long. NCBI's taxonomy places the organism in Eukaryota, Apicomplexa, Aconoidasida, Haemosporida, Plasmodiidae. The record is from RefSeq and is a predicted model, not a curated record.
CAUAUAUAUGUAUAUACAUUAAUUUUUUUUUAUUUUUUUUACUAUAUAUUUUGAUAGUAAUGAUACGAAUGUAAAAGUGGGCAUAUUUUGAUAAUUAAAAUGAAAUAUGUGUAAAUUAUAAUAAAUUCCAUUAAAUGGGCAUUAUGGGAAUUAUAUAUUAUAAGAUGCAUACAUAUAUAUAUCUAUAAACUUAUUAUGGUUUUAAAAGUAAAAGGAUUAUAUGUAUAAGGAUAAGAAAUGUUAAAUAAAUUAAAAAGUAUAAAAUUGUAUUUUUAUAGAUAGAUUUAUAAUCUAAGAAUAAUAUGUGAACGAAUUAGAUAAUAUAAUAGGGUUGAUUGAAAGAACCUAGAAAAAAUAAGAAAACACAGAUUUAAUAUUAUAGAUGAUAGAGUUAUAUUGAUUUUACUAGAAGAAAUAAAGAUUUUAUUGAAGUAAAUUAAAAUAAAAAAGAAUGAAUUGUAUUAAGUUAAAAACAAUUGUAUCUAACAAUAAAAACAUAGCUCUAAAGAAAAAUUACUUUAAGAGUCUUUAAAUCUUAAAUAUAAAUUACACCUUAUAACAUUUGAUGAAGAUCAAAAAAACAAUAUGAUGUAUUUAAAAUAUAUUAUUAUCUUGAAGAAGAUUUCAGAAAAAACAAAAAUAACCUUUUAAGUUAGCACUCAGAAGCUUAAAAGAAAAGAAUAAGAUAAUAUUAUAAUAUUAUAAUACCUUAAAAUAACUAUAAAAAUGAGAUUUCUUUAUUUUUUUAUAUCAAGACGUAAAAUUGCUUGUACAAGAAAUAAACUGGAAUAAUAAAAAUAAAAUAAAUAACUUUAGAACGUCAAAUACUAGAGUUACUUUUUAUUUGUCUCAAUAUAUAUGAAUUUUUUAUGAACUUACCUGGUAAAUAUAAAUUUAAAAUUGAAGAUUACGAAGAAGAGGAAGAUGAAGAUGAAGAUGAAGAUGAAGAACAUUUAAAAAGAAGGUUACCAUUAAGUAUUGUUAAUAUAUAUAUAUAUAUAAUAUGAUGUAUGAAGAAAGGAAAUGGUAUUACAACAUAAAUAAAACUUAGAAGACAAAAAUGAAUAAAAAGGUGUAGAACAAAGAGAAGUUUUAAACAUCUUGAGUAUAUCAAAAGAUAUAAGAUAAUUGAAACAGAAAUGUAUACAUAUAUAUGGGUAUGUUAUAAUUAAAUGAAAUCCAGAAAAAACAAAAUGAUGUACUCAAAGAUGUCUUAAAUAAAUAUGGAUAUGCAGAACAGCAUGAUAGUUUUUUUUUUUUUUUUUUUUGUAUAUACCAAUUCAACUAAUGGUUUUAUAUAAGAACAGAACUGACAUUUAAAAGGAAACGUUAAAAUAUAUAUAUCCAUAUAUGAAAGAAGAAGCUUUAUUUUUAAUUUAUUUUUUAUAUAUACCAAUGUCUAAAUGGUUUAUAGAAGAAAUGAACUGAGAUUAAAGUAAAGAAAGCUCAAAAAAAAAAAAAAAAAGGUAUUAUAUAAUAGACGAAGUGUAUUAUGAUGUAUAGAAGAACACAUUAUAAAAACUAUAAUAAGGCAAAUUCAGAACAAAAAAUGCCUCAGAAUUAAGGAAGCCAUAUAAUUCAGAUAGGAUAAUCUGAGAAUUGACAAAACAGAAAAAGGAAAUAAUUAUAUAUAUAUAAUGUGAUAGAGAAAGAAUAACUGUGUAUAAAAGGUUAUUUGCAAUAAGACUUUUUUAAGAUAUGUUAUUAGAUACAUAUAAUAUUGUUAUGCACAGAACAGCAUAUAUGGAAUGUGUAUCGAAAUAUAAAAAGUUCAUAAAGAAAAUUGUAUUGUUAAAUAGAAUCACACAAUAUAUGAUAUUGAAGAAAAACAGAAUGUUAUAAGGAAAAUACACAUAAGCAAUAUAAAUGAAUUGAAGAAAAACAACACAUUUUUGGAAAUUGAGAGAAGAGUAUAUAUUUAGAAAAUUUAUUAUAUUCUAAACCCCAAGAAUAUUAUUGGAAAUUCUAAAUAUAUAUAUAUAUAUAUAUAUUUAUAUAAGCCUUUAUAUAGAUAUGAAAUUUUUUUAUACUAUAUACAAAUCCCCUCAUUGUGUAUAAUAUAAAGAACGUUUUUUAUUUAUAUUGGUAUACAAGAUUCUAUGGAAGAUUAAAUGUUAUGAAGAAAAAUAGUAUAUAUAUUUAAGAAAUAUUGCCCUUAAAAGUUUUAACUUAAUAUUGUUUUGCCAAAACUUUUAAUUUAUUUUUAUAUUUCUUAAAAAAUAUAGUUUUAAUCGUGUGUCUUAAAAGUAUAUAUUGUUAAUCAUGUUUUUUGAAGGAAUAUAGAUUUCUUUUAAUGUCCCUGAAAAGAUUUAAUACGAUCAGUAUUUUUUUGAGGAUAUAGUUUAUUUUGUUGAUGUACUUUUGAAUAUAUAUAGUUUUUUUAAUAUUUUGGAAAGAUUUAAUAUAUAAUCCUUUCACAAUUUUAUAAAGGCACUACAUUAUUUUGUGUUUCUUAGAUUAUAUAAUUUUUUUAAUGUUUUCAUGUUUUUUCAUAAUAAUUUAUGCAUAUAUUUUUUUAGUUUCUACUGUUCACUAAUUCAUUCGUUGAACUUGUUUAUAGUAAAUGUUUUUAUAUAUACAAUAAAAAAAAAAAAAAAAAAGUAAAAAAUAAAAAGUAAAAAAUUAAAAAUAAAAAGUAAAAAAUAAAAAGUAAAAAAUUAAAAAUAAAUUAUUCAUAUACAUUAUACUUCUUUUUUGUAUACAUAAUAUUUUAUUAUUAUACAUAAUAUUCUAUUCUUAUACAUAGUCUUUUUUUCUUAUACAUAGAUUUUUUGUUUAUACAUAGUCUUUUUUUCUUAUACAUAGACUUUUAUUGUUAUACAUAGAU